GCUUGCUUGGUGGAUCAGUGGCGAACGGGUGAGUAACACGUGAGCAACCUGCCCUGGACUCUGGGAUAAGCGCUGGAAACGGCGUCUAAUACUGGAUAUGAGCUCUCAUCGCAUGGUGGGGGUUGGAAAGAUUUUUCGGUCUGGGAUGGGCUCGCGGCCUAUCAGCUUGUUGGUGAGGUAAUGGCUCACCAAGGCGUCGACGGGUAGCCGGCCUGAGAGGGUGACCGGCCACACUGGGACUGAGACACGGCCCAGACUCCUACGGGAGGCAGCAGUGGGGAAUAUUGCACAAUGGGCGGAAGCCUGAUGCAGCAACGCCGCGUGAGGGAUGACGGCCUUCGGGUUGUAAACCUCUUUUAGCAGGGAAGAAGCGAGAGUGACGGUACCUGCAGAAAAAGCGCCGGCUAACUACGUGCCAGCAGCCGCGGUAAUACGUAGGGCGCAAGCGUUAUCCGGAAUUAUUGGGCGUAAAGAGCUCGUAGGCGGUUUGUCGCGUCUGCUGUGAAAUCCCGAGGCUCAACCUCGGGCCUGCAGUGGGUACGGGCAGACUAGAGUGCGGUAGGGGAGAUUGGAAUUCCUGGUGUAGCGGUGGAAUGCGCAGAUAUCAGGAGGAACACCGAUGGCGAAGGCAGAUCUCUGGGCCGUAACUGACGCUGAGGAGCGAAAGGGUGGGGAGCAAACAGGCUUAGAUACCCUGGUAGUCCACCCCGUAAACGUUGGGAACUAGUUGUGGGGACCAUUCCACGGUUUCCGUGACGCAGCUAACGCAUUAAGUUCCCCGCCUGGGGAGUACGGCCGCAAGGCUAAAACUCAAAGGAAUUGACGGGGACCCGCACAAGCGGCGGAGCAUGCGGAUUAAUUCGAUGCAACGCGAAGAACCUUACCAAGGCUUGACAUACACCAGAACACCGUAGAAAUACGGGACUCUUUGGACACUGGUGAACAGGUGGUGCAUGGUUGUCGUCAGCUCGUGUCGUGAGAUGUUGGGUUAAGUCCCGCAACGAGCGCAACCCUCGUUCUAUGUUGCCAGCACGUAAUGGUGGGAACUCAUGGGAUACUGCCGGGGUCAACUCGGAGGAAGGUGGGGAUGACGUCAAAUCAUCAUGCCCCUUAUGUCUUGGGCUUCACGCAUGCUACAAUGGCCGGUACAAAGGGCUGCAAUACCGUGAGGUGGAGCGAAUCCCAAAAAGCCGGUCCCAGUUCGGAUUGAGGUCUGCAACUCGACCUCAUGAAGUCGGAGUCGCUAGUAAUCGCAGAUCAGCAACGCUGCGGUGAAUACGUUCCCGGGUCUUGUACACACCGCCCGUCAAGUCAUGAAAGUCGGUAACACCUGAAGCCGGUGG
This 1343-nucleotide ribosomal RNA is filed under the name Actinomycetes bacterium. RNAcentral's name for it is "bacterial SSU rRNA". It matches the Rfam family "Bacterial small subunit ribosomal RNA", at positions 78 to 1433 of the family's 1533-position model. Lineage: Bacteria; Bacillati; Actinomycetota; Actinomycetes. The record is from RNAcentral.